This 434-nucleotide ribosomal RNA is filed under the name uncultured bacterium. Its description in RNAcentral is "bacterial SSU rRNA". It matches the Rfam family "Bacterial small subunit ribosomal RNA", at positions 559 to 992 of the family's 1533-position model. The record is from RNAcentral.
CGUAAAGCGCACGCAGGCGGUCUGUCAAGUCGGAUGUGAAAUCCCCGGGCUCAACCUGGGAACUGCAUUCGAAACUGGCAGGCUAGAGUCUUGUAGAGGGGGGUAGAAUUCCAGGUGUAGCGGUGAAAUGCGUAGAGAUCUGGAGGAAUACCGGUGGCGAAGGCGGCCCCCUGGACAAAGACUGACGCUCAGGUGCGAAAGCGUGGGGAGCAAACAGGAUUAGAUACCCUGGUAGUCCACGCCGUAAACGAUGUCGACUUGGAGGUUGUGCCCUUGAGGCGUGGCUUCCGGAGCUAACGCGUUAAGUCGACCGCCUGGGGAGUACGGCCGCAAGGUUAAAACUCAAAUGAAUUGACGGGGGCCCGCACAAGCGGUGGAGCAUGUGGUUUAAUUCGAUGCAACGCGAAGAACCUUACCUACUCUUGACAUCCAGA